CGGAACGAUCCUAGCUUGCUAGGAGGCGUCGAGCGGCGGACGGGUGAGUAAUGCAUAGGAAUCUGCCCGGUAGUGGGGGAUAACCUGGGGAAACCCAGGCUAAUACCGCAUACGCCCUACGGGGGAAAGCAGGGGAUCUUCGGACCUUGCGCUAUCGGAUGAGCCUAUGUCGGAUUAGCUAGUUGGUGAGGUAACGGCUCACCAAGGCUGCGAUCCGUAGCUGGUCUGAGAGGAUGAUCAGCCACAUCGGGACUGAGACACGGCCCGAACUCCUACGGGAGGCAGCAGUGGGGAAUAUUGGACAAUGGGCGAAAGCCUGAUCCAGCCAUGCCGCGUGUGUGAAGAAGGCCUUCGGGUUGUAAAGCACUUUCAGUGAGGAAGAAAGCCUUGAGGUUAAUACCCUCGAGGGAGGACAUCACUCACAGAAGAAGCACCGGCUAACUCCGUGCCAGCAGCCGCGGUAAUACGGAGGGUGCGAGCGUUAAUCGGAAUUACUGGGCGUAGAGCGCGCGUAGGCGGCUUGAUAAGCCGGUUGUGAAAGCCCCGGGCUCAGCCUGGGAACGGCAUCCGGAACUGUCAGGCUAGAGUGCAUGAGAGGAAGGUAGAAUUCCCGGUGUAGCGGUGAAAUGCGUACAGAUCGGGAGGAAUACCAGUGGCGAACGCGGCCUUCUGGACUGACACUGACGCUGAGGUGCGA
RNAcentral lists this ribosomal RNA (697 nucleotides) under uncultured bacterium. Its description in RNAcentral is "bacterial SSU rRNA". It matches the Rfam family "Bacterial small subunit ribosomal RNA", at positions 67 to 756 of the family's 1533-position model. The record is from RNAcentral.